Molecule: ribosomal RNA, 1737 nt
Filed under: human gut metagenome
Description: bacterial LSU rRNA
Rfam family: Bacterial large subunit ribosomal RNA
Source: RNAcentral
CUCAGAAGCAGCCACUCAUUCAAAGAGUGCGUAAUAGCUCACUGGUCGAGCGUCUUUGCGCGGAGAAUUUAACGGGGCUAAACCUGACACCGAAGCUUAGGCAAUCCAGUAAUGGAUUGGGUAGGGGAGCGUUGUAUACGCGGAGAAACAGUAGCGUAAGCGGCUGUGGAGUGUAUAGAAGUGAGAAUGCCGGAAUGAGUAGCGCGAAUGCAGUGAGAAUCUGCAUGGCCGAAAGCCUCAGGUUUUUGGAGGAAGGUUCGUCCGCUCCAAGUUAGUCGGGAGCUAAGGUGAGGCCGGAAGGCGUAGCCGAUGCACAGACGGUAGAGAUUCCGUCACCACCAAAAGAGUUAAGCACAGGGACACAUUUGAAGUCUCAGAGCCGGGUGUUGGUUCCGGUAGAGAUCGAGGGAAGUUAGUACCGAAGUCUGAGAUGGAAGAUGGCGAGAAAAGCUGUGUGUAUUUCUGAGGUGCCCGUACCGCAAACCGACACAGGUAGGUAGGAAGAAGAUUCUAAGGCCAACGGGAGAAGGGUUGUUAAGGAACUCGGCAAAUUGACCCCGUAACUUCGGGAGAAGGGGUGCUCCAGAGAUGGAGCCGCAGAGAAUCGGCCCAAGCAACUGUUUACCAAAAACACAGGUUUGUGCUAAAUCGAAAGAUGACGUAUACGAGCUGACGCCUGCCCGGUGCUGGAAGGUUAAGAGGAGAUGUGCAAGCAUUGAAUCGAAGCCCCAGUGAACGGCGGCCGUAACUAUAACGGUCCUAAGGUAGCGAAAUUCCUUGUCAGGUAAGUUCUGACCCGCAUGAAAGGCGUAAUGAUUUGGGCACUGUCUCAACAGCCCGCCCGGCGAAAUUGUAGUACCGGUGAAGAUGCCGGUUACCCGCGACAAGACGGAAAGACCCCAUGGAGCUUUACUGUAGCCUAAUAUUGGGUUUCGAUGUUGCAUGCACAGGAUAGAUGGGACACUGGGAAACAGGAGCUUUGGCUUCUGCGGAGUGGCCGUUGGGAUACCAUCCUUGCGAUAUUGGAAUUCUAACCUGCGGCUCUGAAUCGAGUCGGGGGACAUUGUUAGGUGGGCAGUUUGACUGGGGCGGUCGCCUCCUAAAAAGUAACGGAGGCGUUCAAAGGUUCGCUCAGCUUGAACGGAAAUCAAGCAAAAGAGUGCAAACGCAGAAGCGAGCCUAACUGCGAGACUGACGGGUCGAGCAGUAACGAAAGUUGGAGUUAGUGAUCCGGUGGUAUGUGAGUGGAAAUGCCAUCGCUCAACGGAUAAAAGUUACCCUGGGGAUAACAGGCUGAUCUCCCCCAAGAGUCCACAUCGACGGGGAGGUUUGGCACCUCGAUGUCGGCUCAUCGCAUCCUGGGGCUGAAGUAGGUCCCAAGGGUUGGGCUGUUCGCCCAUUAAAGCGGUACGCGAGCUGGGUUCAGAACGUCGUGAGACAGUUCGGUCCCUAUCUGUCGUGGGCGCAGGAUAUUUGAUGGGAGCUGUCCCUAGUACGAGAGGACCGGGACGGACGUACCUCUGGCGCACCAGUUGUUCCGCCAGGAGCAUAGCUGGGCAACUACGUACGGAUCGGAUAAACGCUGAAAGCAUCUAAGCGUGAAGCCGACCCAAAGAUAAGAUAUCCCAUUGUUUUAAACAAGUAAGACCCCUUGAAGACUACAAGGUUGAUAGGCACGAUGUGUAAGUGGAGCGAUCCAUUCAGCAAGCGUGUACUAAUAGGUCGAGGGCUUGACCA